GAUGAACGCUGGCGGCGUGCCUAAUACAUGCAAGUCGAGCGAACAGACGAGGAGCUUGCUCCUCUGACGUUAGCGGCGGACGGGUGAGUAACACGUGGAUAACCUACCUAUAAGACUGGGAUAACUUCGGGAAACCGGAGCUAAUACCGGAUAAUAUAUUGAACCGCAUGGUUCAAUAGUGAAAGACGGUUUUGCUGUCACUUAUAGAUGGAUCCGCGCCGCAUUAGCUAGUUGGUAAGGUAACGGCUUACCAAGGCAGCGAUGCGUAGCCGACCUGAGAGGGUGAUCGGCCACACUGGAACUGAGACACGCUCCAGACUCCUACGGGAGGCAGCAGUAGGGAAUCUUCCGCAAUGGGCGAAAGCCUGACGGAGCAACGCCGCGUGAGUGAUGAAGGUCUUCGGAUCGUAAAACUCUGUUAUUAGGGAAGAACAAAUGUGUAAGUAACUAUGCACGUCUUGACGGUACCUAAUCAGAAAGCCACGGCUAACUACGUG
RNAcentral lists this ribosomal RNA (497 nucleotides) under uncultured bacterium. Its description in RNAcentral is "partial 16S ribosomal RNA". It matches the Rfam family "Bacterial small subunit ribosomal RNA", at positions 28 to 507 of the family's 1533-position model. The record is from RNAcentral.